Molecule: long non-coding RNA, 234 nt
Filed under: Mytilus galloprovincialis (Mediterranean mussel)
Lineage: Eukaryota; Metazoa; Mollusca; Bivalvia; Mytilida; Mytilidae
Source: RNAcentral
GCCAACGUGAUAGUAAUAUACGACCAAAAAAUUUUAAUUUUUGCGGUCGUAUAAAAAGGGACCAAAUAUUAAAAAUCUAAAUACAUGGGUAGAUCGGCAUAUCAAAGAACCCCAAUAAUUCAAUUUUUGAUGAAAUCAUACAAAGUUUAAUUUUGGACCCUUUUGGACCUCAAUGUGGACCAAUUUAAAAAUGCGGCAAAAAAUCCAAAAAUUUAAUACACAGUAAGAUUCAGC